UUCUCUGAGUGACUUUCGCUAAGAAAGUCUUUUGACACCUCUAAAAAUGGUGUAGAAUAAGGGGUGGGCAAGUCUGGUGUCAGCCGCCGCGGUAAUACCAGCACCCCGAGUGGUCGGGACGAUUAUUGGGCCUAAAGCAUCCGUAGCCGGUUUUACAAGUCCUCCGUUAAAUCCAGCUGCUUAACAGAUGGGCUGCGGAGGAUACUAUAAGACUAGGAGGCAGGAGAGGCAAGCGGUACUCAGUGGGUAGGGGUAAAAUCCGUUGAUCCAUUGAAGACCACCAGUGGCGAAGGCGGCUUGCCAGAAUGCGCUCGACGGUGAGGGAUGAAAGCUGGGGGAGCAAACCGGAUUAGAUACCCGGGUAGUCCCAGCUGUAAACGAUGCAGACUCGGUGAUGGACUAGCUUUAUGCUAGUCCAGUGCCGCAGGGGAGCCGUUAAGUCUGCCGCCUGGGUAGUACGGUCGCAAGACUGAAACUUAAAGGAAUUGGCGGGGGAGCACCACAAGGGGUGAAGCCUGCGGUUCAAUUGGAGUCAACGCCGGGAAUCUUACCGGGGGCGACAGCAGGAUGAAGGUCAAGCUGAAGACUUUACUAGACAAGCUGAGAGGAGGUGCAUGGCCGUCGCCAGCUCGUGCCGUGAGGUGUCCUGUUAAGUCAGGUAACGAGCGAGACCCCUGCUUCUAGUUGCUACUUUUAUUCCUCGGAGUAGAAGGGCUAAUUAGAAGGACUGCCGCCGCUAAGGCGGAGGAAGGAGGGGGCUACGGCAGAUCAGUAUGCCCCGAAACCCUCGGGCCACACGCGGGCUGCAAUGGUAAGUACAAUAGGUUCCGAUUCCGAAAGGAGGAGGCAAUCCCGUAAAACUUACCACAGUUAUGAUUGAGGGCUGAAACUCGUCCUCAUGAAUAUGGAAUCCCUAGUAU
Molecule: ribosomal RNA, 920 nt
Filed under: uncultured crenarchaeote
Lineage: Archaea; Thermoproteati; Thermoproteota
Description: bacterial SSU rRNA
Rfam family: Archaeal small subunit ribosomal RNA
Source: RNAcentral